UCGAGAAUUUUUCACAAUGGGCGAAAGCCUGAUGGAGCGACGCCGCGUGGGGGAUGAAUGGCUUCGGCCCGUAAACCCCUGUCAUUUGCGAACAAACCUUGCUAUUUAAAAGAUGGCGAGCUGAUUGUAGCGAAAGAGGAAGGGACGGCUAACUCUGUGCCAGCAGCCGCGGUAAUACAGAGGUCCCAAGCGUUGUUCGGAUUCACUGGGCGUAAAGGGUGCGUAGGCGGUCGGGUAAGUCUGACGUGAAAUCUCCGAGCUUAACUCGGAAACGGCGUCGGAUACUAUUCGGCUCGAGGGUUGGAGGGGGGACUGGAAUACUUGGUGUAGCAGUGAAAUGCGUAGAUAUCAAGUGGAACACCAGUGGCGAAGGCGAGUCCCUAGACAACUCCUGACGCUGAGGCACGAAAGCUAGGGGAGCAAACAGGAUUAGAUACCCGCGUAGUCC
Molecule: ribosomal RNA, 448 nt
Filed under: uncultured bacterium
Lineage: Bacteria
Description: bacterial SSU rRNA
Rfam family: Bacterial small subunit ribosomal RNA
Source: RNAcentral